Molecule: long non-coding RNA, 623 nt
Organism: Acanthopagrus latus (yellowfin seabream)
Lineage: Eukaryota; Metazoa; Chordata; Actinopteri; Spariformes; Sparidae
Exons: 5
Source: RefSeq, a predicted model, not a curated record
AGCUGUUUAUGCUAACUAAGGUUCUUCUUCUACGCCUUCUUCUCCGGCACCUGGUGAAGACACUGUGGUUGAGCUGACGCCGCCGCAUGGACAGAAGUGGGAAGCCAGAAAAUGGCGAUGACGGCAGUUACAGUGGUACAUCAAGCACAAACAAAUGAUGGGAUAAGUACAAGAGACUGUACCAAAAUGGAUUUGAAGCUGCUAUUUUAAGAAUGUUUUUUCUUCAUUAAACACGAGGCUGAGUCGGAUCCCUCAGCGUCAACCAGGGGCAUUGAUCUUUGCCAUGGCCUGCUUCAUCACGUCUCUAGCAAGAGCGUAGCGCCUCACAAUCUGCCGCACGUGCUCCUCUUCCUCGCGCUUCAGGAUCCGCAGGAAGUUGCACAACUCGGGGAAGCUAAACGCAUCCCACUGUGGAGAGGAGACAUUUCUCAUUAAUAACCAGACUCAAGACUUUCUCACUGGGGCCGGCACACAAGCGCAGGGCGAACUUGGCUGGGUUGUCCACCACGGUGAACUUGUUGAGCAACGCCUCGAUGACUUCUCGCACGCGCGUUCGGGAGCUUAUAUGCAGGUGCUUGGCAGUGUCUUUGGGGAGGUAGAAAGACGUCCGCCGUUUCAGCCGU